RNAcentral lists this long non-coding RNA (392 nucleotides) under Rosa chinensis. RNAcentral describes it as "sRNA RchiOBHm_Chr5g0048881". Lineage: Eukaryota; Viridiplantae; Streptophyta; Magnoliopsida; Rosales; Rosaceae. The record is from RNAcentral.
AGUACAGCAACACUUGCAACCACACAUUUUCGCAGCAGAAGAUAGUUUCUCUGUACGAGAUGUUCUAUCAGCUCGAUCGCAGUGGCGGAGGUUUCAUCUUCGCCGACGAGUUUUUUGUCCGUACCGGAAUUCGCAGUCAAUCCUCUCUCUCAGUUUUGGCUGGGUGGACGUAGAUACUGGGGGAGAGAUGGAGCAAGACCACACUUGCUCUUAGGAGAUGCUUUUGUAUCAACACCCAAUUUCCUUUUCUCAUCAGAGAGAUUUGAUCAAACAACAAAGCUACUUAGUUUUGGGGUGACUUGCUCUUAGGAGAUGCUUCUGUAUCAACACCCAAUUUCCUUUUCUCAUCAGAGAGAUUUGAUCAAACAACAAAGCUACUUAGUUUUGGGGUG